RNAcentral lists this ribosomal RNA (446 nucleotides) under uncultured bacterium. RNAcentral's name for it is "partial 16S ribosomal RNA". It matches the Rfam family "Bacterial small subunit ribosomal RNA", at positions 338 to 795 of the family's 1533-position model. The record is from RNAcentral.
CCUACGGGAGGCAGCAGUCGAGAAUCAUUCACAAUGGGGGAAACCCUGAUGGUGCGACGCCGCGUGGGGGAAUGAAGGUCUUCGGAUUGUAAACCCCUGUCAUGUGGGAGCAAAUUAAAAAGAUAGUACCACAAGAGGAAGAGACGGUUAACUCUGUGCCAGCAGCCGCGGUAAUACAGAGGUCUCAAGCGUUGUUCGGAAUCACUGGGCGUAAAGCGUGCGUAGGCUGUUUCGUAAGUCGUGAGUGAAAGGGGCGGGCUAAACCCGCGGACGGCACAUGAUACUGCGAGACUAGAGUAAUGGAGGGGGAACCGGAAUUCUCGGUGUAGCAGUGAAAUGCGUAGAUAUCGAAAGGAACACUCGUGGCGAAGGCGGGUUCCUGGACAUUAACUGACGCUGAGGCACGAAGGCCAGGGGAGCGAAAGGGAUUAGAUACCCUUGUAGUC